CCAGGAUUUAGUUGAAAUUAAUAAGACUUUUGCUUGUAGGCUUCCUUUGAAGUAUUUAGCUGUCCUGCCUGCUCCUUUGAGUGCUGUAUCUUGAAGGCCAGUCAUUUUUUUGACUUUUGUUAUGAUGACCUUCAGAAUAAAUAUUCAGGAUUCCUGGCACUGUGCAAGUGGAUGCUUUGCAGGAACCUUCAAGACCCUCAGGAAUUGCCAGGUCCUGCCUGCAAGGAGUAGGAUCAGCCAACAUUCUCCAUGCAGGACCUUCCUCUGUCCUGUGUCAUUUGGCAAAACAACACAGUAGAAUCUCCAGUGUUGGUUACAAAACACUCACAAUGGGCAUUGAAACACACUGAAUUUGCUAAUAUGUCUCUUCAUAACUUUUAUGUCUAGAAGCCCCAGCUGUGAUCGGGGCCUUGUUGUGUGAGAUUAUGCAAAUACAUAUUUUGUACAAACAGGAUGAUGAAAUCACAUGGAAAAUAUCAUAAUAAUAGCAGAAAAAGAGCAACAGGGGAAAGCUAAAAACCACACUGAGUUGCUUCUUCAGGGUCAUGUGGUGGGCCACUGGCAAAGGCAGGAACAGCAGUGGGUCUCCUGGGUUCCAGGCUGGUCCUUAUCUGCCAUGGCAUCCUGCCUCUUCCCAACCCUCCCUGUGCUUUCCCAGCGCUCCUUUAAACUCUGCUGCAGAGCUGCAACACCAAGGGGGUUCAGCUAAUUCAAUUUACCCCUCAUUUGUCAAUCUGCUCCCCUCCCCAGAGCCCUGUG
Molecule: non-coding RNA, 759 nt
Organism: Cyanistes caeruleus (blue tit)
Lineage: Eukaryota; Metazoa; Chordata; Aves; Passeriformes; Paridae
Source: RefSeq, a predicted model, not a curated record